CUCAUCUUGUUACACAGUUGAGUAACCUGGCUGAGAUGCCCUCUACAGUUCCAUGGCUCUCCUCAUGUUGAGCAGGGCUCUCUAUGCUUCAGAGGCUCUGGGUCUCCUGGGACAUGAUCCUACCAUUUCCUGAAGUCUGGGCACCUUACCCCUUUCUGCAGUGUGCAUACAAUUCCCAAGCCUCAGUGCAGUGCAGCACUGUGACCCAGAGCCUAGGCAGGAGCCUGACAGAAAGAAGCCUGCAGGAUGCUCAGACGUUCAUUCAGAUGUGCGAGACGGUGCAGCCAGUGACCACGGUGCAUCCUUCCUGGAGGUUAACAGCCACUUUUUCCAUGUGACUGUGGGUGUGGAACAGGGCCAGACUGUGCUCACAGUAUCAUCUGUUUGGCCACAGUGCAGCCAUCUGGAAGCUUGAAUGCUGUGACUGUUCUGAAGGCUCUCAUAACUGGACCAGCCUCCUUCCUGAACUCCUCAGUGAGGGCAUUACUCAGGCCUCAGGAGCAGCAAGGAUCCCAGGCUGUCUUAUCCUGUCUGGGGCUGCAAUGGGGUCUUCCACAGGCUUGUUUUUUGUUUGUUUAUUUUUUUUUCAAUUAACAGCUAUUUACAAAUCAAAAUUAUGUGGCAUACAUAAUCAAGAUGUUGCUAAUUCAAAUCAGAGUUAGAAUUUGCAGUGAAAGUGCCCAUACAUACAUGGAACCCUUCUGCAGGUUCUAUUUCUCAUUAGUAAAAUUGUUUAUUAAACUCAGGGAGAAGAGGUGUUUACAGAGAGUGAAGGUACCUUCUAGCAGGGCAAAACUGUGGAUGCACAGAGUUUUAGAGUCCAUCUCCAAACCAUUUGUAGUGACUCAGGGCAGGCAUAUAAAAAGUUCUGGAAGCUGGAUUCCCAAACAGCUUUUUAUGAUUGUUUAGACUAGCUUGACAAUUCUAACUUUAUCACCUCUACAAAUUAAAAGUUUUGUGUCUUAA
Vicugna pacos (alpaca) is the source of this 966-nucleotide non-coding RNA. NCBI's taxonomy places the organism in Eukaryota, Metazoa, Chordata, Mammalia, Artiodactyla, Camelidae. The record is from RefSeq and is a predicted model, not a curated record.